CCUACGGGGGGCAGCAGUGGGGAAUAUUGGACAAUGGGGGGAACCCUGAUCCAGCCAUGCCGCGUGUGUGAAGAAGGCCCUCGGGUUGUAAAGCACUUUCAGUGAGGAAGAACGCCUGGUGGUUAAUACCCAUCAGGAAAGACAUCACUCACAGAAGAAGCACCGGCUAACUCCGUGCCAGCAGCCGCGGUAAUACGGAGGGUGCGAGCGUUAAUCGGAAUUACUGGGCGUAAAGCGCGCGUAGGUGGCUUGAUAAGCCGGUUGUGAAAGCCCCGGGCUCAACCUGGGAACGGCAUCCGGAACUGUCAAGCUAGAGUGCAGGAUAGGAAGGUAGAAUUCCCGGUGUAGCGGUGAAAUGCGUAGAGAUCGGGAGGAAUACCAGUGGCGAAGGCGGCCUUCUGGACUGACACUGACACUGAGGUGCGAAAGCGUGGGUAGCAAACAGGAUUAGAUACCCCAGUAGUC
This 465-nucleotide ribosomal RNA is filed under the name Vreelandella stevensii. RNAcentral describes it as "partial 16S ribosomal RNA". It matches the Rfam family "Bacterial small subunit ribosomal RNA", at positions 338 to 795 of the family's 1533-position model. Lineage: Bacteria; Pseudomonadati; Pseudomonadota; Gammaproteobacteria; Oceanospirillales; Halomonadaceae. The record is from RNAcentral.